This 459-nucleotide ribosomal RNA is filed under the name uncultured bacterium. RNAcentral's name for it is "partial 16S ribosomal RNA". It matches the Rfam family "Bacterial small subunit ribosomal RNA", at positions 338 to 795 of the family's 1533-position model. The record is from RNAcentral.
CCUACGGGAGGCAGCAGUGAGGAAUAUUGGUCAAUGGCCGAGAGGCUGAACCAGCCAAGUAGCGUGAAGGAAGAAUGUCCUAUGGGUUGUAAACCUCUUUUAUCAAGGAACAAAGUCACCCACGUGUGGCUGUUUGAGAGUACUUUAUGAAAAAGCAUCGGCUAACUCCGUGCCAGCAGCCGCGGUAAUACGGAGGAUGCGAGCGUUAUCCGGAUUUAUUGGGUUUAAAGGGUGCGUAGGGGGGUUAUCAAGUCAGCGGUAAAAUCGUGGAGCUAAACUCCAUACAGCCGUUGAAACUGAUGAUCUUGAGUGGGCGAGAAGUAGGCGGAAUGCGUGGUGUAGCGGUGAAAUGCAUAGAUAUCACGCAGAACUCCGAUUGCGAAGGCAGCAUACCGGCGCCCGACUGACGCUGAAGCACGAAAGUGUGGGUAUCGAACAGGAUUAGAUACCCUUGUAGUC